This 829-nucleotide ribosomal RNA is filed under the name uncultured Alphaproteobacteria bacterium. RNAcentral describes it as "bacterial SSU rRNA". It matches the Rfam family "Bacterial small subunit ribosomal RNA", at positions 79 to 944 of the family's 1533-position model. The record is from RNAcentral. Lineage: Bacteria; Pseudomonadati; Pseudomonadota; Alphaproteobacteria.
UCUUAGCAAUAAGGGAGCGGCGCACGGGUGAGUAACACGUGGGAAUAUGCCUUUUGGUACGGAACAACUUUUGGAAACGAAAGCUAAUACCGUAUGGUCCCUUCGGGGUAAAGAUUUAUCGCCAAAAGAGUAGCCCGCGUUGGAUUAGCUAGUUGGUAGGGUAAUGGCCUACCAAGGCGACGAUCCAUAGCUGGUCUGAGAGGACGAUCAGCCACACUGGGACUGAGACACGGCCCAGACUCCUACGGGAGGCAGCAGUUAGGAAUAUUGGACAAUGGGCGCAAGCCUGAUCCAGCCAUGCCGCGUGAGUGAUGAAGGCCUUCGGGUUGUAAAGCUCUUUAGUCCACGAAUAUAAUGACUGUAGUGGAAGAAUAAGCCCCGGCUAACUUCGUGCCAGCAGCCGCGGUAAUACGAAGGGGGCGAGCGUUGUUCGGAAUCACUGGGCGUAAAGAGUGCGUAGGCGGUUAUGAAAGUUAGGAGUGAAAGCCCCAGGCUCAACUUGGGAAUUGCUCUUAAAACUACAUGACUCGAAUUCGGGAGAGGAUAGCGGAAUUCUCAGUGUAGCAGUGAAAUGCGUAGAUAUUGAGAGGAACACCAGUGGCGUAAGCGGCUAUCUGGACCGACAUUGACGCUGAGGCACGAAAGCGUGGGGAUCAAACAGGAUUAGAUACCCUGGUAGUCCACGCCGUAAACGAUGUGUGUUUGUCGCUGGGGAGUUUACUCUUCGGUGACGGAGCUAACGCGUUAAGCACACCGCCUGGGAAGUACGGUCGCAAGAUUAAAACUCAAAGGAAUUGACGGGGACCCGCACAAGCGGUGGAGUAUGUGG